RNAcentral lists this ribosomal RNA (254 nucleotides) under uncultured bacterium. Its description in RNAcentral is "partial 16S ribosomal RNA". It matches the Rfam family "Bacterial small subunit ribosomal RNA", at positions 524 to 776 of the family's 1533-position model. The record is from RNAcentral.
UACGUAGGGGGGCAAGCGUUGUCCGGAUUUAUUGGGCGUAAAGAGCGUGUAGGCGGCCAAACAGGUCAGCUGUGAAAACUCGAGGCUCAACCUCGAGACGUCGGUUGAAACCGUUUGGCUAGAGUCCGGAAGAGGAGAGUGGAAUUCCCGGUGUAGCGGUGAAAUGCGCAGAUAUCGGGAAGAACACCCGUGGCGAAGGCGGCUCUCUGGGACGGUACUGACGCUGAGACGCGAAAGCGUGGGGAGCGAACAGG